AGAGCAAGGUCCCGCCCUCCUUCGCCUCUGAUUGGCUAGAAAUUUGGGGCUCCCACGAUUCCUGCUGUCCGUAAUCCGGGACGAAAUUCGCCUCACCAACGGACCCGGUAGGAAUUAGCGUACGCCGGAAAUCAGAGCCGUUCCGGAUGCGGUUGAAAUCCCGGGUAAACUUCCAAUUUUCUACCUUGUUUUUGUUAAGCUAACUGAUUGGAAACCUAGCAUACAAGGCUAACAACAAGAUUGUGGUAUGAAUGCUAUAAUUUACCUAAAUCUAUUUUGAAAACGUUAUUGAGUUUUUUUCAAAAGAAUCAAGAAGCUGAAUUUAGUUAUCAACUAGAAAAAUUGUAUUUCCUUGCAAAAAAUGCAUGGAAGUGCUGAGUGCUGAAAGCUGAAAAGGCAAUGCAAAAUUGCUAAAAAAAAUUAAAAAAAAUGUCGGAAGGUAUGAAUGUAAAAACUGUUGAAGGGGUGACGAGAAAGAAACACAAGUUGGAUGAAUGCAAAAAGUGAUUAAGUACAAGUAGUGUGAAUGUGCUACAUACAUUGAAAUUCCAUUCAUGCGGAAAGAGGCUUAAAAAAUGUCUGAAAUUGCACAUAAUUUGUAUGAAGAAGAAAAUUACCUUAAAACACAGAAAAGUGAGGAGUGGCAUAAGUUCAAGUUGCAGUACUAGUUGUAGUAUGAUAGUAAGUAGUCGUAGUAGUGAUAUUAGUAGUGAUAGUUUUAGAAUAGAAGAAGUAGAAGUCAAAGUAGUAGAGCUGGUGGUAGAAGUAACAGUAGCAGUAAAGAAAGUAUUUGUAGUAGCAAUAGUAGUUGAGGUAGAAGUGAAGGCACUAGACAAUAACAGCUCCAAAAUAAAAAAUGUAUUGUAUAUGAUGCAUUUACAAGAAACACUAGUUAUAUCUCAACAAACCACUUUAAACUGUGCUUAUUUUUGGUCGAGUUAGCACUUUCAAUCAUUACUGUUAAAAGCAUUCUUGAAAUAGAGAAACCACCCAGAAGCUAGAGUAUUAAAUAAAAAUCUGUCAUACUGUCUUUAUUAAACUGCCUGUUCAGAUGUAAAAUAUGUAAUUGUGGAAUAUGGUAAAAAAGAGAGAGAGGCCCUUGAGUGGGAUUAUUUUUGAUCAGAACAAUAAGAUCCAGGAAAGAAGCCAUGCAAGAAGUGGAAAAUUUUAUUG
Molecule: non-coding RNA, 1173 nt
Organism: Xyrichtys novacula (pearly razorfish)
Lineage: Eukaryota; Metazoa; Chordata; Actinopteri; Labriformes; Labridae
Source: the annotation of a GenBank genome assembly